AAAAAAAAAAAAAAAAAAAUAACAGCAAAAAAAAACAAAAAAGGUACAGAUUCUGGUUGGAUCAAAUUGCGAAAUUUCGAAACAGUCCAGCUUGCACAGGGUUACAUU
This 108-nucleotide small RNA is filed under the name Chattonella subsalsa. RNAcentral's name for it is "partial transfer-messenger RNA". The record is from RNAcentral. Lineage: Eukaryota; Raphidophyceae; Chattonellales; Chattonellaceae.